Molecule: transfer RNA, 74 nt
Filed under: Agrobacterium burrii
Lineage: Bacteria; Pseudomonadati; Pseudomonadota; Alphaproteobacteria; Hyphomicrobiales; Rhizobiaceae
Description: Agrobacterium sp. Rnr tRNA-Ala
Source: RNAcentral
GGGGUGUGCUCUGGGUAAGCGGGUAAUCCUUGCAAGAUUGCCGCCGGUCGGUUCGAUUCCGACACGCUCCACCA